GCAGGAGCAAUGCUGAUGGACAAAUCUGGAAGAAGACCACUCAUAAUGGUUUCUGCAACUGGUACAUUCCUAGGCUGCUCCAUGGCUGGUGCUUCUUUCUUCUUCAAGGUUAACCCUCACUGCACAUCUUCUUUCUUCUUCAAGGUUAACCCCUUAUUUUUUUUAUUGAAAGCCCUAAACAAUGUUCCUAACGACUCGUCACUGAACCAGAGCCACGAUUUGCUGCUCGACUGGGUGCCUAUCCUAGCUGUAUCUGGUGUACUGGUAAAUUCACGAACCACAGUCUUCAAUUUUCUCUGCAAAAUUGAGAGUUAUGGUUUUUCAUUGAUCUAAACACUGUGAAAUGAAAAAAUCAGGUGUACAUUUCUGCAUUCUCAAUUGGAAUGGGAGCAGUGCCCUGGGUGAUCAUGUCUGAGGUAUACAACACUCAAAACCCUAUAAAACAUGACAUUAUUACGACAGUUUCCAUAUCAUCCAAUCAAUUAAGGAGAAUCACUCACUUGGCGAUUUCUGAAACAGAUCUUCCCCAUAAACAUGAAGGGAGUGGGAGGAAGCCUGGUGGUGCUGGUGAAUUGGCUGGGCGCAUGGGCAGUCUCGUUCACAUUCAAUUUCUUAAUGAGCUGGAGUUCCCCGGGGACAUUCUUCCUCUACUCCGGCUUCUCGAUCCUGAC
RNAcentral lists this long non-coding RNA (671 nucleotides) under Linum usitatissimum (flax). RNAcentral's name for it is "long non-coding RNA (LUSI_LNC004846)". Lineage: Eukaryota; Viridiplantae; Streptophyta; Magnoliopsida; Malpighiales; Linaceae. The record is from RNAcentral.